UGAGCUUGAUCCUGGCUCAGGAUGAACGCUAGCGGCAGGCUUAACACAUGCAAGUCGAGGGGUAUUUAUCUUCGGAUAGAGAGACCGGCGCACGGGUGCGUAACGCGUAUGCAAUCUACCUUUUACAGAGGGAUAGCCCAGAGAAAUUUGGAUUAAUACCUCAUAGUAUAUAGACUCGGCAUCGAGAUUAUAUUAAAGUCACAACGGUAAAAGAUGAGCAUGCGUCCCAUUAGCUAGUUGGUAAGGUAACGGCUUACCAAGGCUACGAUGGGUAGGGGUCCUGAGAGGGAGAUCCCCCACACUGGUACUGAGACACGGACCAGACUCCUACGGGAGGCAGCAGUGAGGAAUAUUGGACAAUGGGCGCAAGCCUGAUCCAGCCAUGCCGCGUGCAGGAUGACGGUCCUAUGGAUUGUAAACUGCUUUUAUACGAGAAGAAACAUCCCGACGUGUCGGGACUGACGGUAUCGUAGA
This 474-nucleotide ribosomal RNA is filed under the name Flavobacterium sp. 01WB04.4-102. RNAcentral describes it as "bacterial SSU rRNA". It matches the Rfam family "Bacterial small subunit ribosomal RNA", at positions 1 to 484 of the family's 1533-position model. The record is from RNAcentral. Lineage: Bacteria; Pseudomonadati; Bacteroidota; Flavobacteriia; Flavobacteriales; Flavobacteriaceae.